This 444-nucleotide ribosomal RNA is filed under the name Enterococcus faecium. RNAcentral's name for it is "bacterial SSU rRNA". It matches the Rfam family "Bacterial small subunit ribosomal RNA", at positions 1 to 423 of the family's 1533-position model. The record is from RNAcentral. Lineage: Bacteria; Bacillati; Bacillota; Bacilli; Lactobacillales; Enterococcaceae.
UUUUAUGAGAGUUUGAUCCUGGCUCAGGACGAACGCUGGCGGCGUGCCUAAUACAUGCAAGUCGAACGCUUCUUUUUCCACCGGAGCUUGCUCCACCGGAAAAAGAGGAGUGGCGAACGGGUGAGUAACACGUGGGUAACCUGCCCAUCAGAAGGGGAUAACACUUGGAAACAGGUGCUAAUACCGUAUAACAAUCGAAACCGCAUGGUUUUGAUUUGAAAGGCGCUUUCGGGUGUCGCUGAUGGAUGGACCCGCGGUGCAUUAGCUAGUUGGUGAGGUAACGGCUCACCAAGGCCACGAUGCAUAGCCGACCUGAGAGGGUGAUCGGCCACAUUGGGACUGAGACACGGCCCAAACUCCUACGGGAGGCAGCAGUAGGGAAUCUUCGGCAAUGGACGAAAGUCUGACCGAGCAACGCCGCGUGAGUGAAGAAGGUUUUCGGAU